Molecule: ribosomal RNA, 380 nt
Filed under: uncultured eukaryote
Lineage: Eukaryota
Description: partial 18S ribosomal RNA
Rfam family: Eukaryotic small subunit ribosomal RNA
Source: RNAcentral
CAAUAGCGUAUAUUAAAGUUGUUGCGGUUAAAAAGCUCGUAGUUGGAUUUCUGCCGAGGACGACCGGUCCGCCCUCCGGGUGAGCAUCUGGCUCGGCCUAGGCAUCUUCUUGGGGAGCGUAUCUGCACUUCAUUGUGUGGUGCGGUAUCCAAGACUUUUACUUUGAGGAAAUUAGAGUGUUUCAAGCAGGCCCACGCCUUGAAUACAUUAGCAUGGAAUAAUAAGGUAGGACCUCGGUUCUAUUUUGUUGGUUUCUAGAAUUGAGGUAAUGAUUAAUAGGGAUAGUUGGGGGCAUUCGUAUUUAACUGUCAGAGGCGAAAUUCUUGGAUUUGUUAAAGACGGACUACUGCGAAAGCAUUUGCCAAGGAUGUUUUCAUUGA